UACAUGAGGAUAUGUCUUAUGAGGAGUACCCGGUGUGCAUCCUCGAUCGAGAAGAAAGAAAGCUGCGGAGUCGCAGAAUUUCAUAUUUGAAAGUCCAGUGGAGCAACCAUGCGGCGCGAGAAGCCACUUGGGAGCUCGAGGAAACCAUGCGGAGAGGGUAUCGGCAUCUAUUUGAGUCGACAAGUUGAGGUAUGUGUAAUUUCGCGGACGAAAUUAUUUUAAGGGGUGGAGUUUGUAAUAUACCGAAAAUUCGAAAAAUGAAUAUCGACCUUUAGUCAAAUUGACCAAAGUGCGAGGAUGGUACACUUCGGAAAGUUCGAAGGUGUUAAAAUGAUCAAACGUGAGUUGCGGGAGGUUUUCGAGAGCUAAAAGUGUGAAAUCUGCAUUCUGCAGGUUUUC
This 399-nucleotide long non-coding RNA is filed under the name Ananas comosus (pineapple). RNAcentral's name for it is "long non-coding RNA (ACOM_LNC036175)". Lineage: Eukaryota; Viridiplantae; Streptophyta; Magnoliopsida; Poales; Bromeliaceae. The record is from RNAcentral.